This 634-nucleotide ribosomal RNA is filed under the name Salmonella enterica. Its description in RNAcentral is "partial 23S ribosomal RNA". It matches the Rfam family "Bacterial large subunit ribosomal RNA", at positions 1 to 668 of the family's 2925-position model. RNAcentral also lists the same sequence under 3 other names. Lineage: Bacteria; Pseudomonadati; Pseudomonadota; Gammaproteobacteria; Enterobacterales; Enterobacteriaceae. The record is from RNAcentral.
GGGUUGUGAGGUUAAGCGACUAAGCGUACACGGUGGAUGCCCUGGCAGUCAGAGGCGAUGAAGGACGUGCUAAUCUGCGAUAAGCGCCGGUAAGGUGAUAUGAACCGUUAUAACCGGCGAUUUCCGAAUGGGGAAACCCAGUGUGAUUCGUCACACUAUCAUUAACUGAAUCCAUAGGUUAAUGAGGCGAACCGGGGGAACUGAAACAUCUAAGUACCCCGAGGAAAAGAAAUCAACCGAGAUUCCCCCAGUAGCGGCGAGCGAACGGGGAGGAGCCCAGAGCCUGAAUCAGCAUGUGUGUUAGUGGAAGCGUCUGGAAAGGCGCGCGAUACAGGGUGACAGCCCCGUACACAAAAGCGCAUGUGCUGUGAGCUCGAUGAGUAGGGCGGGACACGUGGUAUCCUGUCUGAAUAUGGGGGGACCAUCCUCCAAGGCUAAAUACUCCUGACUGACCGAUAGUGAACCAGUACCGUGAGGGAAAGGCGAAAAGAACCCCGGCGAGGGGAGUGAAAAAGAACCUGAAACCGUGUACGUACAAGCAGUGGGAGCACCCUUCGGGGUGUGACUGCGUACCUUUUGUAUAAUGGGUCAGCGACUUAUAUUCUGUAGCAAGGUUAACCGUAUAGGGGAGCCG